GGCAGCCCACUCCAGUGUUCUUGCCUGGAGAAUCCCAGGGACGGGGGAGCCUGGUGGGCUGCCGUCUCUGGGGUCGCACAGAGUCGAACAUGACUGAAGUGACUUAGCAGUAGCAGCAGUCUUGAUUGACACUUUGUGGACAGGAGGUAAGCACAGAAUACAUGUGUCAGAAUAGGAAGACUGGGCUUCCUCUGGGCCAGGUCUCUGGAGAGGCAUUUUUAAAGGGUGUUUCUGUUCUUCCAGGCUUAGGAUCAAAACUUCAGGAAAUGAUUUGACGAUAAUGUAGUAUUAAUACGGAAAAUGAAAAUUCCCCCUGCCAAGGAAACUGCAUUUUAUCUCAUCUCUUUCCCGAAAAAUCCAAAAGAUAGUAUGAUGUCAGUUAACUGUGUCAGGAAGAAAUCAGCAUUAUUAUAGUGACAACUUUUCACAUGAAUGACAAUGGAAAAAAAACAAAAAAAACCCAGGAAGGAGCAGAUUUAUCUAAUUUACCAGGCAUUCUGGAAGCAUCUGGGGUGAGAGCUACUGCAAACGGCUGCCGAUGGCAGCAACACAGAAGGAAUAUGCAUCUGUGCGUGUGGACAAAUUAAUAUAGAACAGGCUUUAUACCUUCCCCUCCUUCCAGCGAUUCAAAUCUGCUCCAGUUCUGAGAUGUAUGAACCAGAUGGAGAUGGUACACACAGGCAGGAGGGGACAGUUGAAGAGUGUUUCAUCCACAAACAGAUGAGAAAAAGGUUGGUGGACAGCAAUGAAGAAGACCCCACGUGGGCGUGCAUGCUUGAGUUGCUCAGUCGUGUCCAGCUCUUUGUGACCCCAUGGACAGUAGCCUGCCAGGCUCCUCUGUCCAUGGAAUUCUCCAGGCAUGAACACUGGAGUGGGUUGCCCUUUCCUCCUCCAGCCCAUCUGUAAGUACAAGGAAAUAUAUGAAGAGAGGAGACAUGCUUAGUCAAGAGGUGAUUCUAAGACCAAACAGAAAGAAAGGACUGGGGAGUCCUCUGUGAGUCAGUCCAUCUGGUGGUGUUUAUUGAAACACGGAUGCUGGCCCGGCUUCAGGAAAUCCCAUGAUAAAUGGAGAAUUUGGGGAUUAGAACGUGCCCGUCUUCUCCCUGCUCUGACCAUCUGAUGCACAGGUCCUGGCCAGUUAGUGGAGGUGUAAAUUUCAUCUCUGUGCUUCUUUCAAAUGAUAGAUGCCAUAGUAACUUUAAAAUAUUGAAUAAGAUAACCGAGCAUGAAUUUUUAAAUUCUGCAAUUAAAAGACUUUGUUCAAAAUGCCAUUAAUUUUGAGUUUAGGUGGGAAAGAGAAGCAGAAUUCCUCUGAGUCCUUUUUCCUUCUGCAAGUGAAUUAUAACUUUUUAGAAAGUGAAAUAAAUACUAAUGAGCCCUGUAUUCUUGUA
Bubalus bubalis (water buffalo) is the source of this 1391-nucleotide long non-coding RNA. RefSeq lists it as uncharacterized. Lineage: Eukaryota; Metazoa; Chordata; Mammalia; Artiodactyla; Bovidae. The transcript has 2 exons. The record is from RefSeq and is a predicted model, not a curated record.